Molecule: non-coding RNA, 29 nt
Filed under: Cricetulus griseus (Chinese hamster)
Lineage: Eukaryota; Metazoa; Chordata; Mammalia; Rodentia; Cricetidae
Source: RNAcentral
UCACGUCCUGUACAAUUGAACACAUCCAG